UACGGGGGGAGCAAGCGUUGUUCGGAUUUACUGGGCGUAAAGGGCGCGUAGGCGGUAGCACAAGUCAGUUGUGAAAUCUCCGGGCUUAACUCGGAAAGGUCAACUGAUACUGUGCGGCUAGAGUGCAGAAGGGGCAACUGGAAUUCUUGGUGUAGCGGUGAAAUGCGUAGAUAUCAAGAGGAACACCUGCGGCGAAGGCGGGUUGCUGGGCUGACACUGACGCUGAGGCGCGAAAGCUAGGGGAGCGAACGGG
This 253-nucleotide ribosomal RNA is filed under the name uncultured bacterium. Its description in RNAcentral is "partial 16S ribosomal RNA". It matches the Rfam family "Bacterial small subunit ribosomal RNA", at positions 524 to 776 of the family's 1533-position model. The record is from RNAcentral.